AAUGAACGCUGGCGGCGUGGUUAAGACAUGCAAGUCGAACGGGAUAUUAGGUGUAGCAAUACAUCUGAUGUUCAGUGGCGAACGGGUGCGUAACACGUGAACAAUCUACCUUUAAGUGUGGAAUAGCUCGCCGAAAGGCGAAUUAAUACCGCAUGUGGUGGCCUCUCUCCUGAGAGACCUACUAAAGUCGGGGACCGCAAGGCCUGACGCUUGAAGAGGAGUUCGCGGCCUAUCAGCUUGUUGGCGAGGUAACGGCUCACCAAGGCUAAGACGGGUAGCUGGUCUGAGAGGACGACCAGUCACACUGGAACUGAGACACGGUCCAGACACC
RNAcentral lists this ribosomal RNA (331 nucleotides) under uncultured bacterium. RNAcentral's name for it is "bacterial SSU rRNA". It matches the Rfam family "Bacterial small subunit ribosomal RNA", at positions 29 to 339 of the family's 1533-position model. The record is from RNAcentral.